CUACGGGGGGCUGCAGUGGGGAAUAUUGGACAAUGGGCGAAAGCCUGAUCCAGCCAUGCCGCGUGUGUGAAGAAGGCCUUCGGGUUGUAAAGCACUUUCAGUGGGGAAGAAAGCCUUGGGGCUAAUACCCUCGAGGAAGGACAUCACCCACAGAAGAAGCACCGGCUAACUCCGUGCCAGCAGCCGCGGUAAUACGGAGGGUGCGAGCGUUAAUCGGAAUUACUGGGCGUAAAGCGCGCGUAGGCGGUCUGAUAAGCCGGUUGUGAAAGCCCCGGGCUCAACCUGGGAACGGCAUCCGGAACUGUCAGGCUAGAGUGCAGGAGAGGAAGGUAGAAUUCCCGGUGUAGCGGUGAAAUGCGUAGAGAUCGGGAGGAAUACCAGUGGCGAAGGCGGCCUUCUGGACUGACACUGACGCUGAGGUGCGAAAGCGUGGGUAGCAAACAGGAUUAGAUACCCGGUAGUC
RNAcentral lists this ribosomal RNA (463 nucleotides) under Vreelandella stevensii. RNAcentral describes it as "partial 16S ribosomal RNA". It matches the Rfam family "Bacterial small subunit ribosomal RNA", at positions 339 to 795 of the family's 1533-position model. Lineage: Bacteria; Pseudomonadati; Pseudomonadota; Gammaproteobacteria; Oceanospirillales; Halomonadaceae. The record is from RNAcentral.